RNAcentral lists this ribosomal RNA (396 nucleotides) under uncultured bacterium. RNAcentral's name for it is "bacterial SSU rRNA". It matches the Rfam family "Bacterial small subunit ribosomal RNA", at positions 29 to 429 of the family's 1533-position model. The record is from RNAcentral.
AUUAAACGCUGGCGGCAUGCCUUACACAUGCAAGUCGAACGGCAGCACGGGGGCAACCCUGGUGGCGAGUGGCGGACGGGUGAGUAAUGCAUCGGAACGUGCCCUGAAGUGGGGGAUAACGCAGCGAAAGCUACGCUAAUACCGCAUAUUCUGUGAGCAGGAAAGCAGGGGAUCGCAAGACCUUGCGCUUUGGGAGCGGCCGAUGUCGGAUUAGCUAGUUGGUGGGUAAAGGCCUACCAAGGCGACGAUCCGUAGCGGGUCUGAGAGGAUGAUCCGCCACACUGGGACUGAGACACGGCCCAGACUCCUACGGGAGGCAGCAGUGGGGAAUUUUGGACAAUGGGCGGAAGCCUGAUCCAGCCAUGCCGCGUGAGUGAAGAAGGCCUCGGUUGUAAG